UUUGGUUUGUUACGUGUGGUUGGCUGCGGCGCUUGCAACAACUUCCAUGCUUUCAGACCUCUUCAGUUGUGCGGCAAGGCUUGUAUCGCCUUGAGCGUAUCGUGGGUUUUCUGUGUUGGCUACCUAAUCAACGGUAUCGGUUGGAUUGAUCAAAGUUUGAUUUCGUCUUCCGUCGCAUUCGCGGCGUGAGGUGAACCUCGAUGCGGUCUCUUUGAUCCACCUCGUCGGAGCACAUGCUUUGACGUUGUGGCGCAUUGAGCAUUGCUUGGUCUCUUGUAUACGGAACAUAUAGUGGGCAUGGAUCUAACGAUUCUCGUUUGCCCUCAUAUUAGCGUAACGCUUCUCUUACACGACUUGCUCCACGUUUUAG
Molecule: unclassified non-coding RNA, 370 nt
Filed under: Artemisia pontica
Lineage: Eukaryota; Viridiplantae; Streptophyta; Magnoliopsida; Asterales; Asteraceae
Description: partial external transcribed spacer
Source: RNAcentral